This 339-nucleotide ribosomal RNA is filed under the name Triticum aestivum (bread wheat). RNAcentral describes it as "partial small subunit ribosomal RNA". Lineage: Eukaryota; Viridiplantae; Streptophyta; Magnoliopsida; Poales; Poaceae. The record is from RNAcentral.
AUGUACAGUGACCAUGCUACCAUUCUUACCAUUUCCAUCCGGCCACUGUUAAAUCUAAGAAAACUUCUAAACUUGUUGUUAUUUGAAAGUGAUUUUCAGGCGACUGUUCAAACUGCUUGGUCCAGUUCUUGCAAUAAACCUUUCCAUUUAAGAACUUCCAAGCUUGCAGGUUCCCUUAAAAGAUGGAGCAGAACCAAGAGACCUCUCCAGCAGCAACUAGACUCCAUUCAUGCAGAGCUGGAUGCAGUGCAGUCCACUCCUAUUCACUUGCUGGAGCAACUCUCUUUGUUCAAUAUGGGAUUAGUUCCCCUAGGUGAACAGAGCCUUAAGUUUGUGUAG